RNAcentral lists this long non-coding RNA (491 nucleotides) under Vigna radiata. Its description in RNAcentral is "long non-coding RNA (VRAD_LNC016202)". The record is from RNAcentral. Lineage: Eukaryota; Viridiplantae; Streptophyta; Magnoliopsida; Fabales; Fabaceae.
AACUAAGACAACUACUACACUUCUUCCAACUACUACUUCUACAUCCUACUAUCUCUACAUUUUCUCUACCUUAUCAACUACUCCUUUCANAACCUNNANAUACUAACAGUGGUACCAGAGCUACGUUCGGUCAUCUACUNGGCGUAGAUAAAAUUUUCAACUACCUUAAACAAAACUAUAACCCCAUUUUGUACUACCUCCAAAAUAUCUUCUCAACUCAUGGCUACUACCAAUCAAACAUCAUCACUUCCAGUACCUAUUUUCACAGGAGAAAAUUAUGAUUUCUGGAGUGUCAAAACGAAGACAUUCUUCCGCUCUCAAGAUAUAUGGGACAUCAUAGAAGAAGGAUUCACUAUUCUAGAAGACACCUCCACUCUUACUGCAGCUCAAAAGAAGGAGUUGAAGGAAAACAAGCAGAAGGAUUCAAGGGCUUUAUUUGUUCUUCAACAAGCAGUUGAUGACACAAUUUUUCCAAGGAUAAUUGGUGCCAC